This 102-nucleotide non-coding RNA is filed under the name Rhodoferax sp. RNAcentral describes it as "Glycine sequence". It matches the Rfam family "Glycine riboswitch aptamer". From Rfam's summary of the family: This family represents the bacterial glycine riboswitch. Glycine riboswitches usually consist of two metabolite-binding aptamers domains with similar structures in tandem. The aptamers cooperatively bind glycine to regulate the expression of downstream genes. Lineage: Bacteria; Pseudomonadati; Pseudomonadota; Betaproteobacteria; Burkholderiales; Comamonadaceae. The record is from RNAcentral. RNAcentral also lists the same sequence under 1 other name.
UCGACACGGUCAGGAGAGCGUCUGGCGCGUGAAUCCACGCAGCAGACCACCGAAGGCGCACCGCAAGGGUAACGCUCAGGUACCAGGGACUGACAAGCGCCG